AAUCUUUAUCUGAUUAGUAGUGGAAUAAGAGAUCAAAUCUUCAAAAAUCUAAAAUAAUCCUUCACGGAGGCUUACAAGUUUAGACCCUCUACUUCACAUACAUGCCAGACACCGCAAGAAAGUGGGAUGAACUCCGAUCAAAUCACCUUCACAAUUCGAUCAAAUGAGGGAAGAGAGGUGCUGGUGUGAUGCCUUAUGCCUGCAAAGAGGAUGCCCACAAGAGGGCCCACGGC
RNAcentral lists this long non-coding RNA (233 nucleotides) under Elaeis guineensis (African oil palm). RNAcentral describes it as "long non-coding RNA (EGUI_LNC056806)". Lineage: Eukaryota; Viridiplantae; Streptophyta; Magnoliopsida; Arecales; Arecaceae. The record is from RNAcentral.